Molecule: ribosomal RNA, 472 nt
Filed under: uncultured bacterium
Lineage: Bacteria
Description: partial 16S ribosomal RNA
Rfam family: Bacterial small subunit ribosomal RNA
Source: RNAcentral
GACGAACGCUGGCGGCGUGCUUAACACAUGCAAGUCGAACGCUGAAGCUUGGUGCUUGCCCUGGGUGGCUGAGUGGCGAACGGGUGAGUAAUACGUGAGUAACCUGCCCUUGACUCUGGGAUAAGCCUGGGAAACUGGGUCUAAUACUGGAUACGACAUGUCACCGCAUGGUGGUGUGUGGAAAGGGUUUUACUGGUUUUGGAUGGGCUCACGGCCUAUCAGCUUGUUGGUGGGGUAAUGGCUCACCAAGGCGACGACGGGUAGCCGGCCUGAGAGGGUGACCGGCCACACUGGGACUGAGACACGGCCCAGACUCCUACGGGAGGCAGCAGUGGGGAAUAUUGCACAAUGGGCGAAAGCCUGAUGCAGCGACGCCGCGUGAGGGAUGACGGCCUUCGGGUUGUAAACCUCUUUCAGCACGGAAGAAGCGAAAGUGACGGUACGUGCAGAAGAAGCGCCGGCUAACUACGUG